This 41-nucleotide small RNA is filed under the name Archaeoglobus fulgidus. Lineage: Archaea; Methanobacteriati; Methanobacteriota; Archaeoglobi; Archaeoglobales; Archaeoglobaceae. The record is from RNAcentral.
GCGAGAACUACUCUCCAAAACGUUUUUGAGUUGAAAUCAGA